This 468-nucleotide ribosomal RNA is filed under the name uncultured bacterium. Its description in RNAcentral is "partial 16S ribosomal RNA". It matches the Rfam family "Bacterial small subunit ribosomal RNA", at positions 28 to 507 of the family's 1533-position model. The record is from RNAcentral.
GACGAACGCUGGCGGCGUGCUUAACACAUGCGAGUCGAACGGAAAGGCCCUGCUUUUGUGGGGUGCUCGAGUGGCGAACGGGUGAGUAACACGUGAGUAACCUGCCCUUGACUUUGGGAUAACUUCAGGAAGCUGGGGCUAAUACCGGAUAGGAGCUCCUGCUGCAUGGUGGGGGUUGGAAAGUUUCGGCGGUUGGGGAUGGACUCGCGGCUUAUCAGCUCGUUGGUGGGGUAGUGGCUUACCAAGGCUUUGACGGGUAGCCGGCCUGAGAGGGUGACCGGACACAUUGGGACUGAGAUAGGGCCCAGAGUCCUACGGGAGGCAGCAGUGGGAAAUAUUGCACAAUGGGAGGAAGCCUGAUGCAGCAACGCCGCGUGCGGGAUGACGGCCUUCGGGUUGUAAACCGCUUUCGCCUGUGACGAAGCGUGAGUGACGGUAAUGGGUAAAGAAGCACCGGCUAACUACGUG